Molecule: small RNA, 13014 nt
Filed under: Rattus norvegicus (Norway rat)
Lineage: Eukaryota; Metazoa; Chordata; Mammalia; Rodentia; Muridae
Description: uncharacterized LOC103693766
Source: RNAcentral
UUGUGUCAUAAGGAGCUUCCAAAGAUGAUGCUGAGUUGAUUUCCUCUUGGCCAUCUGCUGGGCAUUCAAGUUUGUUUCCCCAGUGAGACUCCCUUGGAGAAAACUACAUUUUUAUUGCACAUGGUUACCACUUGGAGAUAGCUUCUGCAGCAGGGGCCGUCUGCCCACAUCUCCUUUUCCUUCUAAGACCCCCAUCUGCUGCAGACCCUGCAGGCCCUGUGUUUGUUACCUCAGUCUCUCUCUGUGAGUUCACAGGCAUGUAGGUUCUACUGUGUUAGAAGACUCUGUCUCCCCUGUUAUCAGUGGGGGAUCCAUGGAUAAACCUCAGGUUGCCAGGCCCGGUGGCAAGCUCCUUCAAUCAAUGAGCUAUCACACUUUCAGGCUCUUAUGGAGCUAGCCACGUAUUAGCGAGACCAGGUCCUAAAGAAUCAACACCCAGGUCCUCUCCACCAUCUCUCCAAGCUCCUGUUUCCUGUUUUUAAGGAACAAAUUAAAUUGUUCAGGUAACUGGUUGUCCAUGCCAACUUGUGCUUUUGAAAACAUCUUAGGUACAGAACUGUCUGAGUCAAGUAGACCAAUCUGCUGUAUAAUAUGUCUGAUCGAUUUAUUUGGUCUUGGAAAUGUAAUCAAAUAAUCGACUCUUCAUUCCCCUGGACUGUCUGGACUAACUUCUUCAUUGCAUGUAACCAUCACUAAGUGAGCCCCUGUGUCAUUCUAUAAAGGCAAACCUUGAUAACAAUAGUAUUUUCUACUUUCCACACACCGUGCCUUUUUCUAAGUGACUUCGUGAUUUUUAACAUUUGACCUUGAGAGCUUGUUAAUCUAGCAGUCGCAGUAGCUAACCCCACUUCAAUCAGGCAUCUAGUCUGUAUGAGUCUUAACCACUUUUUAUACUGCCACUCCAGACUUCUGCUUUAGUAGAAGAUAUCUGGUCAGAACUGGACUGGCAAACACAGCCCAAGUUAUGACUUACUGGAUAGACAGUAUUGUUAACACAAAGUCUAGCUUUCUCACCCCGAAAGCAAACACUAAUGAAUGAAAAUAUUCUAUAAUAAAAUCUCCUUUACAGAAAGCAAAAAGUUCAAGGUCAAAGGACAUUGUUUUCUUUGGCUGUUCCAAGUCUGUGUUUCUAGGAGGUGUCAACACUCAUUUGCCUACGUGUCUGGUUACCUUAUGUUUCUUUUGCAGAGUCUUCUUUAACCUGCCACAUAGAUGUAUGCUAAGACUUUAAGAUUUUCUUCUCACUUACAUAGUUCCCUUGUUCCCACAGUUCCUGCUGUAGCCUACCAGGGAAAUCCCAAGUGUUAACUUCCCAUCUCACUUUUAAGUACAGGAGACAUUAUAAGACAAUCAGCUGUGGCCUUGAAAGUCAUCUCAGGUGACCAAACUAUAUUCAGCACCUACCACCACAGCAACAUUCUCCUUGUUCUGCCUUGUGGUAGAAAAGGGGUAACCUUAGCAACACUGGUUCCAAGUCUCAAGUCUCUUUGAGGGGAGAUUUAUUUGCAAUGAUUCUAUAGAGAGGUAGGGCAUGUAGUCUCAAUCUGUCCCAUCAUGAUUAUCACAGCUCUGGCUUCUAACUGCCAUCCAGCAAGUUCACAACAUUCAGCCCCACAGGAGUGGUCUAUUUUUCUUUACGUUUUGUUGCCUUUCACCGGGUGCAGUUUCAAUAGUUGCAUUACUGUGAACUGUGUCUGCCCUGUAUUGAACCAUUAUGCAUAGAACUUUCCAGCAACAUGAAAGUUAGCCAGUAGCAAUAAGGUAGGUAUCAGCUUGAUGUCUCCAUGUUGUAUGACUUAAGUAUGGGGAGUCUUCGACAAUAGGGUCUUAUUAUCAAGUUUUGGAAGGUUUUAAGAACAAUAGCCAUAGCCUGUAAUGUUUGAGAGGGAGUCCUACAAGAACCCAUGGAACAACAGCUCCAAAAGAAAGGUAGCCAUACUUGGCACUGAAUUUUUACUCUACAGUCUAAGGUGUCUAGAAGAUGUAUUGUGUCCCAAUUCAAACUUCUAUGGUAUACGCAUAGGAAUAUAUUUCAGGAAGCUUCUACAGUAGGUUUCCAUAUGGCUUCAGUAUAGCAGUUCUUCCUCAAGUUACCUCCUCUACCAUAUUCCCUUAGCCCUCACAGUAUGUAACCCUUCCUGUUUCAUUAUUUUCUUUUAUUCCUUUCUACUCCCUGCACUCCACAUACACUCUCUUGAAAUCUCCCACAAGGUCCCUUACUAUUUUCCUGCCUUUGAUGGGUAAUCAAACUUAAACGCAUGACUUUAAAGAUUCAAAGCUGGCAUAUGAGAGAAAAUAUGGGGCAUUUGAUUUAUGGGUCUGGAUUACCUCACUCAGUAUACUGCGCUCCAGCUCUAUCCAGUUACUUGAGAACUCAUUUGUAUUUACAGCUAAAUACAUGUACCAUAGUUUCAUUUACAUACUAACCCUCUGUCAUAUGUAUAGUUAGUAACGAUUUUUUUUUCUCAUUCCACAAAGUGACCUGCUCCUCAAACGAUGGUAUGCUCUGCUAUAUAGAAGCUUUAUAGUUUCAUGAAACCCUACUCUUUGUUUAUUUUAAUGUCUAUAUUACCAGGUCCUGUUAAGAAAAUCCUUUCUUUUGCCUAUAAUUUGAAUUGCCUCCUCUGUAAGUUCAAGGUGCCAGGUCUUAUGUGGAUGCCUCAGAUUGUAUUUAGUACAUAUCAGAAUCCCAGAAACAUUGGCUCUGAUGCCAGUGAAGGAAUGGACUUGCUAGCGAGAGCAAGCAGGCAAAGAACAAAAGCUUCCCUUCUUCCCGUGUUCCAGAUUAAAUGGAGGUCUUUCCACCUCAAAAUAUCUGAAUUAAUUAGUGGUGUAUUUUCUAACCUCAAAAGAUUUGGUUUAAAAGUGGGUCUUCACACUCCAAAUAAUUUAAUUAAGAAAAACAUUCCUUACAGGUGAACCCAGCCAAUGGAUUUUUAGUUAAUUUCAGGUGUAGUAAAGACGACAACCAAGAACAGCCAUCACGAGUUCACUCUUUAUCACCUUGACAUACAAUCAACCGUAGCUCCUUUUGUUGUUUAAUUUCCAAAUUGAAAAAAAAAAAGUCAGGCUGUAAGUAUAUCUACCACGAUAGAACUAUUUUACACAUAAUCACAAAUGCAUUGUAUAUAAGAUCACAAUUUUUCCUAACAUUCUAUAACUAUCCUUUAUACAACUGCAAACACAUAAAUUUUAGAAUAGGAGGCAAUGUCCCUUAAGGGAUAGCCUUUUGGUAUUUUAAAACUUAAAUAAGAUAACUACUGAUAUUCUUAUGAUAGAUGUUACUUUAUAUGAUAAAGAAAUUGAGGAAAGAACUUGUUCUGAACACAAUAUGACUGAAAAACUCAUGUUAACUAUAAUCUUUAAUCCUACAACUGGUCAUGGCCUCAGUUGGUAUUAAUAACUACUUUCCUCUACUCACCAUUCUGCACUUUUUCACCCUUUACAAGCACCUCAGCAAGUCUUAGUUCUUUUCCUGGAGGAGUGAGCAACACUUUCUCCCCUGAAGGGUCUGUGUCUUUUGUCAUCUUGCAUGGAUUAGGUUGUCGUAGCUUCCAAUUGACUUAAUCACAGGACAUGGUAGUACCAAGAAAGUCUCAGUUGGAUCUCUUGCACUUCAGACAUGAUCUUUUACAGGUUUUUGGAGAAGCAACCCAAUUUUCCCUUCGUAAUCUAGAUCAAGCACCCUUCCUAACACUCUGAUUCCUUUCUUAGCCUGUUGGUUUAAGGGCACCAGAAAGCCAAAGUGGUCAGGGGGAAGAAAUUCUGAGCUUCUAGUUCAGUGGGAUGCUUUGUGUGUCUCCUGGUAAAAGCACCCAUGUCUCUGGAAACAAAAUUUCUAGAACAGCAGAACUUCAGAUCACAGAAACAGGAAACAGAAACUUUCCUAGUAGAUCAUAAGGAAUGAUAGCAAGGGAAUUAUUGCCUUUCUACCGCUUAAUGCUGGACCCCUGGAUCCUGGACAUGGGAGAAACCAUACUAUAUAUUGAAUGCUGAUUGAAAAUACACACUUCUGAAGAACCCUGCCCCAGUCCUCUAGGCGCUGGCAUCUAAUUAGCUCUGUAACGGUAUCUCGAAAAGGCCAGUCCAUCUUUCUAUGAAGCGAGCUGCCUCAGGAUUGUGAGGAACAAAGACCAAUGGAUUUCAUAAUCACGGACCCACUGUUGCACUUCUCUGGCUGUGAAUGAGUCCCUUUGCUAAAAGAAAUAAAAUGUAGAGUACCAUAACAGCAAAUAAGGUGUUCUCUGAAUACACCAAUGGGAGUUUCGACAGAACCAUUAUGUGUAGGAAAGGCAAAUCCAUAUCCAGAAUAAGUAUCUACUGUAGGACAGUCAAUGUAGUUAACCUGACACCAGGUCACUGGAUGAUCCACCGUGGGGAAUGGGGUCAUAUAUGGAGCUUAGUAUUAGUCUCCACUGCUGGAAGAUCUGGCACUUAGUAGCAGUGAUAGCCAGGUCAGACUAUCACUACUGGUGAAUGACAGUCCCUGUUGUCGUGUUUAUGUGUCCAUUGGGCAAUGAUAGGUAUAUCUGAAGGAAGAAGCUGUCUGUCCAUAGCCUGAGUCAUGCUAUCUAUUUGAUUACUGAACUCCUCCUCAGGUGAGUCACCUUUUGAUGAGCAUGUACAUGGGACACGAGUGCCUUCCAAUUCCUUGCCCACUUGGAGAGAUCUACCUGCAUACUUCUUCUCCAGAUGUCUUUCUCACCUAUUUUCCAAGUCCCUGACCAUCUAGGCUACUGCCCAUGAGUCAGUGAAAAAUUGCACAUCUGGCAAUUUCUCAUUCUAAACAAAAUGUAUGUGCAUGUAUACUGCCAGAUGUUUUGCCCACUGUGAAGAUUUCCCUCCACUGUUUUAUUUCAGGGUUGUCACAGAAAGCAGACGUAAUGUUAUAGCUAUGCACUCUAGGUUGGUGCCCAAAUAGCAUGCAGAGUCACCAGUAAGCUGUGCCCCAGUCUUCUCUUCCUUAGUCAAAUAAUCAUAGGGUACACCCCAUGAGGCUAUAGGUACAUAUGUGCCUGCAGAUGGCAUUGUAAUAGGAGUAGAAACCAUAGGCCUUUGGACAACAUCUUUAUGUAACUUGCUUGUGUUUUCAGGACCUGAUUGGCUCAAUCAUGUAUAUACUGCACCUACUUGAUAAUAGAUUGCUAUUGUAUACAUCUUACUUUAUGGCUUGGUGGGUUAAAUAAUACCUAGAGCUCAUGGUGGACAGCUUAGAUUGGCCCAUUGUCAAACAUGCAGUUUCCACCAAGGCCUGAUAGCAGGCCAAUAACUGUCUCUCAAAGGGAGAAUAGUUGUUUGCAGAUGAUGGUAGAGCUCUGGUCCAAAAUCACAAUGUCUCUUCUGUGAUUCACCUAUAGGGGCCAACCAAAGGCUCUAAAAAGCAUUCCUAUCUGCCAAUGCUACCGAGUACCAUUGGGACCAUCGAGUAUCAUAUGGUCCAAGUAGUAGAGCCGCCUGGACCUGUUGAAGAACACUCAAAGCUAGCAGCUAUCUGAGUCACUUAGAAUAUGGUCCAGAGUAACACAGUCGAGUGAGAAAGCGCUGUCUCCAUAAGCCAAACAGUCCCACUAAACAUUGUCCUUUCUUGUUGGUGGGAGAGGUCAGUUGCAAUAACUCAUUCUUUACCCCAUACCACUGGACUCCUAAGAAUUUUCACUGAGGAAGGAGGCCCUUGAAUUUUGGCUGGAUUUAUUUCCUAUCCUCAUGUGCAUGUGUACCAACAAGUCCAAGGUGUCCAAAGGUGGUACCCAGCGCCCGCUCACUAGUUCCAAUUAGCAUAAUAUCAUCAACAUGGUAGGCCACUGUUAUAUUUUGUGGAAAAGACAAUCAAUAAGUUAUCACACAGGGCUGGAAAGUAAAUAUAUUUUUAAGGCAAAACUAUAAAAGCCUACUGCUGGCCUUCCUAACUGAAAGGACAUAUGCAGCUAUACUUGUACCUAUAGUCCCAUGGGCCAUGUCCUAUAAUUAGUUGACUAAGGAAGAGAUGUGCUAAUUUGCUUAAGUAAGGGCCACACAUCUGGUACAGCAGCUGCAACUGGGGUCUUACCUGAUUGACUUUUCGAUAGUAAAGGUACUAGGUUUUAUACUGAGGUCCUUUAUCCACUGAUGUCAGUUUCUUGCAGGUAAGAGAUAAGGAUCUAGAGUUAUUCUUCUACAUACACCUGUCCAAUUUGGCCAGCACCAUUUGUUGAAGAGGCUGUCUCUUCUUCAAGCUAUAUUUUUGGUCUCUGUCAAACAUCGAGUGGCUAUAGGAACAUGGACUUAUAUCUGGUUCCUCAGCUUCAUUUUAUUGAUUAAUGUGUCUGUUUAUAUGCCAGUAUCAUACUGUUUUAUUACAACGUUCUGCAGAAUAACUUGAACUUGGGGUGUAUUUGUUAUUUAGAACUGCUUUGGCUCUCCUGGGUCUUUUGUAUUUCCACAUGCAUGUGAUGCAUUUGGAGAUUCUUUUUCUUUUCAUUCUUUCAUAUUCUCUCCCUCUCCCUCUCACUUUCCCUCUCUUACUCUCUUGAGAUAUGGUCUUACCAGGCUGACUUUGACCUUGCAUUCCCCUUACAUUAUAAGCAAGCACCACAAUGCUCUUUUCUGUGAAUGUUAGAUUGUGUGAAUGAAGUCUUUCUGGAAGACCAUCACAUCUUUGCCCACCUUGAUUACGUCUCCUGUAGUUUCUUUUGUGGAAGUCUCGUCAUUUACCUGCCCCAUCAAUACUUCCCAGGAUUUUGAUGUUUCCACUUUCUCAUCUGCACCAAUCUUCCCAGAACAAUGUCUACAUUAACACUAUCUUAACUCUAUGUUGUGAUGGGAAGUUGUCCCAUCUCUCCAUUAGACUGAACUCUGUGAUACUGAACAUGGUUCUGGUGUCAUCCCUUGGGCUUAAUGCAGAGUGAUCUGUUUUGGUGUGUGAAUACAUUGCUUGACGUUUUCUUCAUUGUUCUCCACUUUACUUUUAAGAAUAUAUUUAUUAUAUUUAAAUGUAUAUGUGUGUGCCCAUGUGCCACAUGAAUAUAGGAGUGUACAGACACAAGAGGAGAUCAUCAGAUCCCCUGAGACUGCAGUCAGAGGCAGUUGUGAGCUGCUUUGUGGGUGCUGAGAAUUGAACCCAGAUUCUCUGCAAGUGUAGCAAGCGCUCUGAACUGCCGGGCCACCUCUCCAGCCUCAUUCUCACCUUAGUUUUGGAGACAGAGUCUCUCAUUGAACUUGGAGCUCACACACUCAACUAUACCAGCUGACCAGGGAACCACAUGAAUCCUCCAGUUUCUGCCUGUCCAGUGCUGGAUAACGGGCCUGCUGCUGCACUUGGCUUUUACAUGGGUUCUGAGGAGAGAACGUGGGACCUCAUGCUUGUACACUGAGCACUUUCUAACUCAGCUAUGUCCUUGGUUACUUAGCCUUGUGUGUUCUUACUCAGAUACUCAAAAUACUCAAAAUACUCAAAAUAAUGAGUAUUAUUUUAAUCAUUAUGGUAAUAAGCUUAUUCUUAGUUAUGAGGAGCUAAUAGGAACGAGUAUCAUAAAAAACCCUUUCUAAAUUCUUUAAUGAUAAAUAUAUAUCUUCUAUCAAAACACAGUUCUAUAUUACAUUUGUAAUAAGUACUGUGUUCAAUAAUUCUCUUUCUUUUCUUUUUCUUUCUUUUUUUUUUUUCAGAGCUGGGACCGAACCCAGGGCCUUAUCCCCAACCCUUCAAUAAUUCUCUUAAACACUGCAAAAUCUAUUUUAGUAACAAGUACUCCUACCAUUCAGGACAAGGUGAUGUUCGAUUCUCAGAUAGAACAUGACCAAGCACAGAGGAUGGGAAUCACAGUUCCCAACACUCUUUUCUUCACAGCCCUCCGAGAAAUGUAAAGAUAACAUGGAGCUCAAAAUGAAUGGAUGUCCAUAAAUAUCUCACAGCAAUUUUAGUUUGAUCAUAUAGGUGCUCACAUAAAUAAAAUUCAGAAAGCAAAAUUCACUUUGCAAUGUAUUGUUAAACAGAGAUACUCAUUAGCAGGUGGUUUUUACAGGCUUUUUUAAGUGUAUGUCAAAGAUCAACUUUUAAAACAGCAAUUCAGUAAGAUAAAGCUUUUAGGAUAAAAUUAAAUCAAAUAUAUACAGUACACUGAGAACACUAUAGAUCUUUUAAAAGACAUUAACUCUCUGAUAGGUCGAGAGAACUCUCUUCCCUUUAGUGAAGACAGUAUAACAUUUGCAACAUUUUCUAAGCAUAUCAACAGAAAUCUAGACUGAAAAGGUUUCCUCCUUUUAGGUAGGCAGGGGAAAUGCUGGCUUGCAAAGGAAAAUGGCCACAAGGAUGGUUAAAGAUGGUUGCUCUGUGCCACCAGGGCAACAUACACAGACAAGCAUCUUCUCCUCUUGCUAUGAUGCUCCCCAUCGAAGGUAUUUGCCAAUAUGGCAGUCUUGCCCACAGAAUUUAGAACCACUUGUCCUCAUUUUUAUGUCUCAUUCAUUAGCAUGCAAAGAGUUGUAUGUUGAGUGUGGCCGAGCACUUACGUGUUGCCUGUCUUGUUUUAUUUAGGGACAAGUGCUCCUGGUCUCUGUCUUCUCACCUAAAAUUUUUCUGGACUGCAGAGAAAGCUUCCAAGACACAGAGCCAGUUACCUCUUGUGCCAUCCACCUUGUUGCACUAACACUAAAUGAUUGUGUGCUGCGGUACAGGCAAGCGCGGGGUGGUGGCUCUCCUGAAGAGAUCAGCCUGGAAGGCAUGUGAACUUGUCAAAGACUGGGUGGAGUGACAAGAACACAGACCCUGAGCAGCCAGCCCGCUCCCCUCCCAUAGCGUGCAUGGAUUUCGUAAGUCAUCUGUUAUAAUCCCAAGCUCCACAUUAAGUAUUAUUGGUCACACAUAAGGAUCUUACUCAACAUGCCUGAAGCGAAGGUAAGGCUAAGAAAUUGUUUAUUAAAAGCAUGCAAGCCAGCCUGAAUUUCUAUAGAACCAGUGUUGAUUACAUUUUACUCACUACGUUAUGAAAUCUUGUGUAUAAUUACAAAUUAUAAGCUAGCGCAGGAUCAUCUGACACCAGUUACAACAAGUUAACCAAAUUUUAUUCUUUUUAUUUUUCUAUUUGACAAUAAUGCCACUUGACUGUCGUUUUAAGAGGCUGUGCCUGCACAGCCUAGAGUGGUCUCUUGGGAUCAGAGAACUGGUUUUUGCUCCAUCCCCAUUCUCUGUAGAGAAAAGAAAAAUCCCACAGAUACUCGAGGUAUAAGAUAGAAACCAGUGAAAUAUUUGCAUUUAACCUCCACACAUCUUUUUGUACAGCCCAGAUAAGAUCUGUCCGCUUACGAUAUCUGAUACAAUGACAAUGCUUCCCACAACCGCUGAGGGAUGCUGACAAAAAAAGGUCCACAGAUGUUAAGUAAAACCCAAGGCUAGUGGAAUGCACAGAGCAGGCCCUGUAGAUACAGAGGGUUGGCUGUAAGUAAUCCACUGCUAAAGGGAUGAAUGGAUUUGUUACAUUUGGAGUUUGGAGCCGGAGUUUAGCAAGUUGUUAUUACUGCAGACUAGAGGUAGCAUGUUUGAAAGGAGAGCCUGCCAUAUGGAGGUCCCUAGGAUUACAACUCAGGACAAUUUCUUUGCAUUUGUCAUGUUCAACUGGCAAUCAACUGACUGACUGCUGUGCGCACAAGGACUAUUCAGAUCCUUUUUACUUACUGAUUCCAACACAAUAUAAUAAGUCAUUAUAGUGGUCUUAUAAUACUGGUUUUCUGGAUCGGAAAAAGUACAUAUAAAUCCCCAGGCUGCCAACAUUACAAGAUUUUCCUGGGUCCCCAGGUGUUACCUCAACCCUCCUCCCAAGGGAAGUCAUCAUUUUGGGGAUAACUUGCACAUUACAAGUCUAGGUCUAAAAUACAUCAGUCUCUAUCUACUACAAUGGAUAAACUAGAUCUACUUGGCUGCAUUCCUUGAUUUAGAUGCCCCAACAGAGUUAACUCCAGAAGACUUAAAUAUAUUUUGUACACAUUGAAAGAAUUCCAUAAAUAUCUCUUUCCUUACUAUAUAUUGAACACAAAUUUUAAAAAGACAGCAUAACAAGAUAAACUUGAAACAUGCCUAGAAAGGCUUGGCUGACAAAAUUGGGAGUGUCUAAUCUGGAGGUCAGGAGGUGCUUGACCAUUGGACCCAAUGACUGACAGUCAGUGACAGAAAAAGUAUUAUCAUUUGAGGGAUCCCCAUUUAUCUGGAAGCCCCAAACUGCACCAUAAUACUCGUCCGACUAUCGCACGCUGUAAGAGGACAGGACUCUGUCCUCAACUUCUACCCAGUGUCUUGCUGAAAAGCAAGCUGCUGGCAGAUGUUUCUAAGGAGAGGUAGAAAGUCUAGGGUUGGGGCAGCAGUGCUUGUGUGAAAAAGAUCCAGGGCACUGAGCAGAGAGAACAACACAGAGGAUGUGCAAGUGUGUGGAAAACAGCGGAGUAAUGACUGCUUCUAUGAGAGGUGGACAGGCAAGAGCUCUCUUUCAUUAGGAAACAUACUCUGUGUGGUGACGUAUGGGGUCACUCUGACCUUCAAAAUCUGUGGGGCCCUCUUGCUCAUAACUCAAGCUUGUUAAUUUAGCUUCAGCAGUCAAGGUUUAUGUUGCUUUGAAUCAUGGAGAAUAACUGACGUCUCUUCUACUUGCUUAGUACAUGUUAAAACCUGAAAGAUGAAAUCCAAUACUCCUGGGGAAAAUACGUUCUUUAAUCACACCUGAUUUGAAACCCUCCUCUCUGAUGUAUCACUUGGAUAAAUAGAAUAGGGGUGUGUCUGUGUGAAAAUGAGGCUAAUAUGUAUUCCAGAGAGCUCAAGGAGAAUAGGAAUAGCUCAACAUAUAAUGAUUCAUGGAAGAAAAUUCCUCCAUGUGUAUGGAUAGAAAAAUCGCCCGUUUAUUAACAAUUAGGGCAUGGACUCACCACACUUCCUGCUUGUGGGCUUUCAUGUCUUUACGCUCACUUAUUUGUCUUAAUGACUAAGAAUGUGAUUGAAAAACAGUCUAGGGGGCGGAGAGUGGACCUCGAUGGUCUAUCUGUUGGUAGCAUGUGCAUUGCUGUGAGUUUGAUUCUCAGAACCAUAGUAAAUCAAUAUACCACAAAAUUAACAGCAGUGCCCAAGAAAGAUGAGAACUUCUCAUGAGGAAGUGCACAAUCAAAGGAGAAGGAAGAACACAGAAUUAGGUAGAAAGCAGGGAAAAGCACAGAAGAAGAAACUAGAAACAGUAGAGCAGUGAACAACAUCUUCUGUUCCAGGCUGGGGAUAUUGGUCAGGAGGGGCCAACAGAGCCCUAAAUCAGUACAGGCUACUAACAUUUCUUCUGGUUGUUUCAUUAGAGUUGCUUCUCUCAGGACAUGCUACUUCUCCCAAAAGUCAUAGGCUGCCAAAUAUAAACUCCAGAGAUGGGUAUGGGACAUUUCUCCCUAACUUAUUGAUUAGGGGUAUCCCAGAGACACCCCCAAACAAUAAAAGCUAUUGUUCUUGGUUACUGAGUAAUACUUGCCUGUAAGCCUCAUUGCUCAAAUCAUCAUAUACUUUGGCCAUAGGGGAUGCAGAAAACAACUGGGUACUGACCAGAGAACUUACUUCUUGUUGACUAGCUCUCCCAGUACUAGAAGGUGUUGUUCAGGCUGCUGGGGUGGGGUGGAGUCACCAACAGUCUUACUCAGUUGUGAACCCUGUGAGCUAUAAUAGUGACCAGCAUGACAAAAUAUGCUCAUGGGUGAAACUGUGGAACAAAUUAAAUUCGUGAAUUUAUAGCAUGUUGCACCCGUUUGCAGCCCCUGUAGAUAGCGUGCAUGAUUAAUGCUUCUGGCCCAUGAUUUUGCAAACAGAAGUAGUAACAUGGGCUAAAGAAAUGGCCAAGAAGGCCAGUUGAAAUGAUUUUACAAUUUAAUCUGGGAAGUGGUUUGCCUUGAGUGGUUAUUUUGAUAUGAUGGAGAACACAUUUUACACAGUCACACAGGAAUCUAUUAUGUUUGAAGUUUCUCAUGAGAGAACCAUGCUGGAGUCUGGUCUCUGUCAAUGACAGGCACUUGACAGGACUUGUUGGUUUGUGGCCUGUUUCAGCAGAGAGGCUAUGACUGUCUCCCUGUUUCAUCUGCUUCUUCGAGUGUCACUGAAUUUAGUCACCAGCCACUUAGUAGGAAAGGCAGUGCUGGUGGGUCUUCUCUUGUUUUUUGUCCCUUGCUAGUGGCUCCCACUGAGUCUACUCAGAGAAAGCCCAGGGUUGCCAGCUUAGGGUCACACAGCACAAGAAACACAUUGUGGCCAAUGGUUUCAAUCAAUGCUUUCUAGAUGGGUGGGACAUAGGUAUACGGAAGGAUGAAUAGUUGAAUCGUGGCAAAAUUGUGAAUUAUUUAGGGAUCAAUUUCUUUUCUCUGUAAGUAUUGAAAAUCCCUUCCCUAUGUGACAACAACUACCAAGGAAAAUUACACAGGAUUUCCUGGGUAAUUUUGGAUGUAACUGGUUUUAAAAAUACCUUCAGAGCUGCUUUGCACAUAUACAUUUUGAGUUUUAAGUUAAUUUCUCUGCUAUUUAAGAAAAAGAGUGUUGCCAUGCAGUGGUGGUGCAUGCCUUUAGUCCCAGCACUUGCAAGGCAGGGGCAGGUAGAUCUCUGAGUUUGAGGCCAGCCUGGUCUACAGAGUGAAUUCCAGGACAACCAGGGCUGUACAGAAAAGCCCCAUCUUAAAAAACUAAAACUGAAAUAAAAUUAAGUGGAAGAAUAUUGAAAACAGAACACGUGUGGCCCAAGGAUGGUGGUGAAUUAGAUGUAAGCUUGAAGGAAGGGAAGAAUGUUGUUUGGCUUGCUGUUUGAAGUAUCCUGCGGAUAUUUUAAAACCUAAUAAAUUACAUAAUUAUUAAGUGGCUAAGCUGAUCACCAGAAAGAUGAUUAGCUCAUUCUGUCCACAGCGUUUUAAAAAAUGCACACAAGACAGAAGGAAUGAACCAAACUCAAAAUGUUGAGAAUGUCCGUCACACACUAAUGAGCCCAGGGUGAGCUGUUGUCAUUUCCCACAUUCCCCACCCCCCUGGUAAGAAGCCCACGGGAG